GUAGCUAAAUGCGGAAGAGAUAAGUGCUGAAAGCAUCUAAGCACGAAACUUGCCCCGAGAUGAGUUCUCCCUGAGACUUAGAGUCUCCUGAAGGAACGUUGAAGACGACGACGUUGAUAGGCCGGGUGUGUAAGCGCAGCGAUGCGUUGAGCUAACCGGUACUAAUGAACCGUGAGGCUUAACCUU
RNAcentral lists this ribosomal RNA (186 nucleotides) under Salmonella enterica subsp. enterica serovar Infantis. RNAcentral describes it as "partial 23S ribosomal RNA". It matches the Rfam family "Bacterial large subunit ribosomal RNA", at positions 2745 to 2925 of the family's 2925-position model. RNAcentral also lists the same sequence under 6 other names. The record is from RNAcentral. Lineage: Bacteria; Pseudomonadati; Pseudomonadota; Gammaproteobacteria; Enterobacterales; Enterobacteriaceae.